UGAUCGGGUCACGAUGUUGAGACCCAGCUCAUAUAUAGAGGUUUUUUAACAUGACCAGUUAACUGAGGACCUUAUCUCGGCUAAGCACCAACGCAUGGCCCGAGUUUGUACCAACACCAACCUUAACAGCUUAGAAGGAGAUUGUCUGACCCAGUAAGUAACCCUCUAGACAAAUGAACUAGAGUUACCUUUCCUCCUGCCUUGCCCCCACCUACAG
RNAcentral lists this long non-coding RNA (217 nucleotides) under Carica papaya (papaya). RNAcentral describes it as "long non-coding RNA (CPAP_LNC010064)". Lineage: Eukaryota; Viridiplantae; Streptophyta; Magnoliopsida; Brassicales; Caricaceae. The record is from RNAcentral.